This 399-nucleotide ribosomal RNA is filed under the name uncultured bacterium. RNAcentral describes it as "bacterial SSU rRNA". It matches the Rfam family "Bacterial small subunit ribosomal RNA", at positions 975 to 1375 of the family's 1533-position model. The record is from RNAcentral.
CUGGAUUGAACUACGCAGGAAAACCCUAGAGAUAGGGCUUCUCCUUCAGGAGCAGAGUGACAGGUGGUGCAUGGUUGUCGUCAGCUCGUGUCGUGAGAUGUUGGGUUAAGUCCCGCAACGAGCGCAACCCUUGAUCUUAGUUGCCAUCAUUAAGUUGGGCACUCUAAGGUGAUUGCCGGUGACAAACCGGAGGAAGGUGGGGAUGACGUCAAAUCAUCAUGCCCCUUAUGACCUGGGCUACACACGUGCUACAAUGGACGGUACAAAGAGCUGCAAGACCGCGAGGUGGAGCUAAUCUCAUAAAACCGUUCUCAGUUCGAAUUGUAGGCUGCAACUCGAGUGCAUGAAGUUGGAACCGCUAGUAAUCGCGGAUCAGCAUGCCGCGGUGAAUACGUUCCC